UGGGGAAUUUUGGACUAUGGGGGAAACCCUGAUCCAGCCAUCCCGCGUGUGCGAUGAAGGCCUUCGGGUUGUAAAGCACUUUUGGCAGGAAAGAAACGUCAUGGGUUAAUACCCCGUGAAACUGACGGUACCUGCAGAAUAAGCACCGGCUAACUACGUGCCAGCAGCCGCGGUAAUACGUAGGGUGCAAGCGUUAAUCGGAAUUACUGGGCGUAAAGCGUGCGCAGGCGGUUCGGAAAGAAAGAUGUGAAAUCCCAGAGCUCAACUUUGGAACUGCAUUUUUAACUACCGGGCUAGAGUGUGUCAGAGGGAGGUGGAAUUCCGCGUGUAGCAGUGAAAUGCGUAGAUAUGCGGAGGAACACCGAUGGCGAAGGCAGCCUCCUGGGAUAACACUGACGCUCAUGCACGAAAGCGUGGGGAGCAAACAGG
RNAcentral lists this ribosomal RNA (429 nucleotides) under Acidobacteriota bacterium. RNAcentral describes it as "Acidobacteria bacterium partial 16S ribosomal RNA". It matches the Rfam family "Bacterial small subunit ribosomal RNA", at positions 355 to 776 of the family's 1533-position model. The record is from RNAcentral. Lineage: Bacteria; Pseudomonadati; Acidobacteriota.